GGGUUGAAGGGAGCAGGGGCUAGCGUAGCGUAGCUUGGCUUAGCGGAACUCCGAGGGUGGUCUUAUCGAGGCGCUGUUGCUCGAAGGAGGGCGCUCGCUUUUCUAGCGUGUCUUCCUCCACGCCUUCACUCCCACACACGCGCGCGCUCCCUCUACCCUAGCCUACCGGCCUCGACCUUGCCCCAGUGGCCGCCCCGGUCUCCACUGCCACUCCUCUUCUGCUCCUGCCACCGCCGAGGCCGCGGCCGCGACCGCCUCCACGGGUGCAGCUGGCGGAGCCAUCUGUAGAGCGACGGCGAAGGGCUCUACUGAGGGGCGUAGUAUCUAGAGACGUUCCUCAACCACUUCCUCACCAGCAGGAACCUGUCGAGCACGAAGAGUUAGAGCUGCCACAGGCCGCCGUAGUGGUUGUACAACGACUUCCAUAGACAGUUCCUUCCGAGACUAUCACUCAGCAGACAUUGACAAGCCGACAUACCGGGUUUAUGUCUGAACCACUAGCUAGCCCUCUCCCUUAACGUCGACGUCCCAAGCCCCGAGCCAAUGAACCUCAUAAACUCUUACCUCACCAAAGCAGUAAGUAGGUACGAUCCUGUGAUAGAGGAAGUCUGUACUUCCUCGGAUCUUAACGGCGACUUUAACGGUUCGUCGAUGUCUUUAAAGUAGUUCAUCUAUAUGGCCCUAGUUUUCUUGGUGUCAACACCUUACUGCAUAAGUUCAAAAACUUUUUUCGAAGACAUAACUUCAAACUUCUAUUACUCUUCGUCUUCUCCAUACUCUACUAGAGAAAAUCUCUUUAUGUUCUACUUCAAUUUCUUGAAUUCCUAGAGAGGCUAGAAAACGUACGAGGACAACACAAACGUGUGUUACUGAACGAUAGCCCAUUAGACUACGACUUACUAAACCUUCUCUUCGAUAUAAAGUAACUAAAACUCAUACCCAGUAUAUCGAUGGCACCGAAACUGUAGCGCUUAGUAAAGUUACUCAUGCGUCCGAAACUCACACUGAUGUUGAACAUGGGUCUAUUUCUACAUGUUAUGGUAAAGAAGUCCUUAAUAGAUAGACUAUCUGGUUCACUCCAGGUUCUCGUCCUAGACCUACGGGAAAUAUGACUUUGCUUGUGAAAGUCCAAUCGUAGUGUGGAGAUGACCCGUAACACCCGUGAGUAAGUCCGUUCCCAUAGGGGUUAGCUAAAGCUAAUGGAACCUAUGAAGAAGGAUGCCAUGCCGCUUAUGUUCUUUGUCGCUCUCAAGACAAAGAGGAACCGCGUUCCGAAGGAAAGAAGUGACUCCUCACCGAUCACGAGUCUUCAACACAGGGGCUCGGUGAAGAAUCGGCGGGCGAAUAUGAAACCCCGUCCGUGCCUACUAGCCGAAACAUGACACAAUUCAUCCCUCAGAGCAGCAUACUAAUACAGUCAACACUCUAAGAAGGAAAAAGCAAAAUAAAAGGACGUCCUCCGUACAUCAAAGGUUAUCUUUCAACAUGUUAGACACUUAUUACAUGUGCACAACCAACGAUGUUUGUGUUCGGAUUACUUAAGACAAAACACAUAGUAACAUACGGGAGGUAACUAAUCUAAUGGGUUUCGAGAAAGUUGUACACUACUAAGAAAGGUGUUAUUUUUCUCGAAAAGGGGGAUGCCACAAACGUUACGCUCGUAUCUCAACACGAGUAGAACAUAGGAUAAAUUAUUCGAAUGGGUUAUGAUGAUGUGGAAUGUAUGUUAGUGUGGCUCGUGUGGUUGCGGUGUUGUGAUGAUACCGCUACUUAAUCUACUUCUACUACUUCAAGAAUCGGGUUUGCUUGCUAGGUGGAACGGUUGGAGUUGGAACGAUGUACGGACGAGAGCGUGUAUGAACCUCAUU
Molecule: ribosomal RNA, 1868 nt
Filed under: Triticum aestivum (bread wheat)
Lineage: Eukaryota; Viridiplantae; Streptophyta; Magnoliopsida; Poales; Poaceae
Description: partial small subunit ribosomal RNA
Source: RNAcentral